RNA transcript from Populus euphratica (Euphrates poplar), 1174 nucleotides. RefSeq lists it as uncharacterized. The transcript has 4 exons. The record is from RefSeq and is a predicted model, not a curated record. NCBI's taxonomy places the organism in Eukaryota, Viridiplantae, Streptophyta, Magnoliopsida, Malpighiales, Salicaceae.
CCCGUAUAUUGUUUUUUAAAUUCAAAAAACACUCGUCUUUAACCGUGUGGGGCUUCUUUUUUUUUUUUUUGCUAUUGUUUUUUCCUUUUCCUAAGAAAAAAAAAGGUCACAGGCUCCAUCGCCCGAUUACUCACUCGUAUCGCGCGUCCUUGCGCGGAGGAAGAGUUUAAGAAAGAGUGCCCGAAAUUUCCUCCUCAAUUCGCCUAAAAUACUGUAAUAACUACAAGGUUUGAUAUGCAAGUGUUUCCCCCGAUUCUUAGCCCUAAACUAGGUGAUGCUUAGUUUUCCCAAGUUGGUAGGCUAAUGCCAUUGCUGAGUUUCGGUUGUCGAUCAUACAGGGAUAUCAACCGUUUCUGAUACAAGGAAGAAAGAAAACAGCAGAGCAAAGCAGAUCGCCAUUGCGAAAAGAUCAUGGAAUGCACAAUGGUAGCCGAGGAACCAAGCCCUAAGAGAUCGAUUGAGAGUAGGCUUCAGAUCAAAGUGAAACUACUGUAGGGAUACGAGGGUCGAUACUCUAGAGAGUCUUUAAACUCGCUUCAUGAAAAAGGUAAAAAGGAAAAGAAGUGGAAAAAUAAAAGCAACGGUGAAAAGGUUAAAAGCUGAGAUGGUAGAGAUUGCUGAGCAACAAAAACAUAUUAGAGAAGGGCAAAAGGAAGUCAGAGAGAAGUUUGAAGAGAUUGAGUUUCAAUGUGAUGAACUCAAAAAGGAAACGUUCCUGAUAUCACAACAAGCUGCAAGCAAUCAGAAGCGCCUAAAUCUCAUGUUCAAAAUUUUGAAAGCACGAGAUGAGAACAAUUUUCAUGAAGCUGCCAGUCUUACCCAGUCUCUUCGAGAAUGCAUGAGAAGCAAAUCACAGAGCAAUACUCAAGUGGUUGUGGAUGCGAGUGGCACAGUUGGAAAAGAAUAACAGGAAUCAGCCAUGCAUGAAAUCCAAGAUCACUGGAAAUGGCUUUAUGGGUGUGUUUUCAAUAAUUUGGCUUGUCAUGUAAGUAACUGUUGGAGUGUUAAGAUCAAUAGCUUUCAACUGUUAGUUUGUUUUAAAAUUAAUGUUGAAUCUGCUACUUUGAUUGUUGCAAACGCUUAUGUUGAGUCUGGCUUUGCUUAUUAGCUACUGGAAUGGCCUAAAAGUUAAUAAUCUCUUUUACUAUGGUAGGCAAGGAGAAAUCUUUCUGGA